RNAcentral lists this ribosomal RNA (501 nucleotides) under uncultured bacterium. RNAcentral's name for it is "bacterial SSU rRNA". It matches the Rfam family "Bacterial small subunit ribosomal RNA", at positions 899 to 1397 of the family's 1533-position model. The record is from RNAcentral.
ACUCAAAGGAAUUGACGGGGACCCGCACAAGCAGCGGAGCAUGUGGUUUAAUUCGAAGCAACGCGAAGAACCUUACCUGGACUUGACAUCCCUUGGCCCACUUCUUAAUCGAAGUUUUCCCUUCGGGGACCAAGGAGACAGGUGGUGCAUGGUUGUCGUCAGCUCGUGUCGUGAGAUGUUGGGUUAAGUCCCGUAACGAGCGCAACCCUUGUCUUUAGUUGCCAUCAGGUAAUGCUGGGCACUCUAGAGAGACUGCCGUGGAUAACACGGAGGAAGGUGGGGAUGACGUCAAAUCAUCAUGCCCCUUAUGUUCAGGGCUACACACGUGCUACAAUGGCCGAUACAAAGGGUAGCGAAAGAGCAAUCUGGAGCCAAUCCCAUAAAGUCGGUCCCAGUUCGGAUUGUGGGCUGAAACUCGCCCACAUGAAGUCGGAGUUGCUAGUAAUCGUGGAUCAGCAUGCCACGGUGAAUGCGUUCCCGGGUCUUGUACACACCGCCCGU